AGUGAACGCUGGCGGUAGGCCUAACACAUGCAAGUCGAACGGCAGCACAGUAAGAGCUUGCUCUUACGGGUGGCGAGUGGCGGACGGGUGAGGAAUACAUCGGAAUCUACUUUUUCGUGGGGGAUAACGUAGGGAAACUUACGCUAAUACCGCAUACGACCUACGGGUGAAAGCAGGGGAUCUUCGGACCUUGCGCGAUUGAAUGAGCCGCUGUGGGAUUAGCUAGUUGGCGGGUUAAAGGCCCACCAAGGCGGCGAUCCGUAGCUGGUCUGAGAGGCUGGUCGGCCACCUGGGAAGUGAGACAGGCACCAGAGUCCUACGGGAGGGCGCAGUGGGGAACAGUGGGCAAUGGGCGCAAGCCUGACCCAGCCAUAGCAAGUGGGUGAAGAAGGCCCUCGGGUUGUAAAGCCGUCUUGUUGGUAAAGAACAGCAGCAGGUUAAUACCCCGCUGUCCUGACGGUACCCAAAGAAUAAGCACCGGCUAACUUCGUG
RNAcentral lists this ribosomal RNA (492 nucleotides) under uncultured bacterium. RNAcentral's name for it is "partial 16S ribosomal RNA". It matches the Rfam family "Bacterial small subunit ribosomal RNA", at positions 29 to 507 of the family's 1533-position model. The record is from RNAcentral.